RNAcentral lists this ribosomal RNA (253 nucleotides) under uncultured bacterium. RNAcentral's name for it is "partial 16S ribosomal RNA". It matches the Rfam family "Bacterial small subunit ribosomal RNA", at positions 524 to 776 of the family's 1533-position model. The record is from RNAcentral.
UACGUAGGGUGCGAGCGUUGUCCGGAAUUACUGGGCGUAAAGGGCUCGUAGGCGGCCAACUAAGUCAGACGUGAAAUCCCUCGGCUUAACCGGGGAACUGCGUCUGAUACUGGAUGGCUAGAGUUUGGGAGAGGGAUGCGGAAUUCCAGGUGUAGCGGUGAAAUGCGUAGAUAUCUGGAGGAACACCGGUGGCGAAGGCGGCAUCCUGGACCAACACUGACGCUGAGGAGCGAAAGCCAGGGGAGCAAACGGG